AUAUUACUGCAAUUUGUUUGCCUCAAAAUGCCUAGUGUUGGGACCUGUUUCAAUGGCUGACAAUUGAUUCAAAACUGAAAGUUCAAAGUUUUCACCGCAGUUAAGAUUCAAUGUCAACAUGGUUAUUAGCCUGAACAGAAGACUAUACCCUUCAACAAGUAAGAAGAAAAGGGUUGUUUUGGAGGUUUAAAGCUGGAUUUGUUUACCCAGAAAACUUAGGCAGUGCAAUUGACAAUGUAAAAUUGGCAUUAUCUGUCUGGUGUCAUACCAACUAAUUAUUGACACAAUUUUGCAGCUGGAACCAAUUCUCAUUGAAACUGUUGGUAAAUUGAAUACGAACUUACACCA
This is a non-coding RNA of Theobroma cacao (cacao), 348 nucleotides long. Lineage: Eukaryota; Viridiplantae; Streptophyta; Magnoliopsida; Malvales; Malvaceae. The record is from RefSeq and is a predicted model, not a curated record.